RNAcentral lists this long non-coding RNA (266 nucleotides) under Solanum tuberosum (potato). Its description in RNAcentral is "long non-coding RNA (STUB_LNC006007)". Lineage: Eukaryota; Viridiplantae; Streptophyta; Magnoliopsida; Solanales; Solanaceae. The record is from RNAcentral.
CUUUCUGUCCUUUACAGACCACCACUUCUGUUAUUAGCAUUCACAAAGUGGAGCAGCACAUUUCAGCUGGUGGGCGUUGUCUAUGCAACCUCAUAUUGAUUUAGCUAGAAGUCUAGAAUUACAGAAAUCAGACAGAACCAUCUACUGGUCUACUGCAACUAAUGCUUAAACCCUUUUUCAUUUGCAUGCAAUAUACCAUUGUAGUUCACCAGGCAAAGCUUCAUUUCUUUUGUAUGCUCCAAGUGAAUUCUAAAACUGAAGCCCCC